UUUGGAAUUUUCCGCAAUGGGCGAAAGCCUGACGGAGCGACACCGCGUGGGGGAUGAAGGCCUUCGGGUCGUAAACCCCUGUCAGGAGGGACGAACGAGUUAGGCUAAUAGCCGAAGCUCUUGACUGUACCUCCAGAGGAAGCCACGGCUAACUCUGUGCCAGCAGCCGCGGUAAUACAGAGGUGGCAAGCGUUAUCCGGAUUUACUGGGUGUAAAGGGCUGGUAGGCGGUGAUGCAAGUCCUGCGUGAAAUGCUGAGGCUCAACCUCAGCGCUGCGCUGGAAACUGCGUCACUCGAGUGUGGGAGAGGAAGGCGGAAUUUCCAGUGUAGCGGUGAAAUGCGUAGAUACUGGAAGGAACACCAGCGGCGAAGGCGGCCUUCUGGACCAACACUGACGCUGAGCAGCGAAAGCUAGGGGAGCAAACGGG
RNAcentral lists this ribosomal RNA (428 nucleotides) under uncultured bacterium. RNAcentral describes it as "bacterial SSU rRNA". It matches the Rfam family "Bacterial small subunit ribosomal RNA", at positions 355 to 776 of the family's 1533-position model. The record is from RNAcentral.